UCAGGAUGAACGCUGGCGGCGUGCCUAACACAUGCAAGUCGAGCGAUCUCUUCGGAGAAGAGCGGCGGACGGGUGAGUAACGCGUGGGUAACCUGCCCUAUACACACGGAUAACGUACCGAAAGGUACGCUAAUACGAGAUAAUAUGCUUUAGUCGCAUGGCUGAAGUAUCAAAGCUCCGGCGGUAUAGGAUGGACCCGCGUCUGAUUAGCUAGUUGGUAAGGUAAUGGCUUACCAAGGCGACGAUCAGUAGCCGACCUGAGAGGGUGAUCGGCCACAUUGGAACUGAGACACGGUCCAAACUCCUACGGGAGGCAGCAGUGGGGAAUAUUGCACGAUGGGCGAAAGCCUGAUGCAGCCAACGCCGCGUGAGCGAUGAAGGCCUUCGGGUCGUAAAGCUCUGUCCUCAAGGAAGAUAAUGACGGUACUCGAGGAGGAAGCCCCGGCUAACUACGUGCCAGCAGCUGC
RNAcentral lists this ribosomal RNA (467 nucleotides) under uncultured bacterium. RNAcentral's name for it is "bacterial SSU rRNA". It matches the Rfam family "Bacterial small subunit ribosomal RNA", at positions 24 to 518 of the family's 1533-position model. The record is from RNAcentral.